GUCCUGCCAGUAGUCAUAUGCUUGUCUCAAAGACUAAGCCAUGCAUGUCUAAGUACAGGCCUACCUAAGGCGAAACCGCAAAUGGCUCAUUAAAUCAGUCUUAAAUCCAUUGGGUUUUGACCAAAACUGACUCGGAUAACCGUGGCAAUUCUAGAGCUAAUACGUGCAAUUAAGUUCCGACCUCGUCGCUACAAAAGUGUAGAGGAAGGGGCGCAUUUAUUAGAAUCAUAAACCGAGCGAGCUUCGGCUCGACUCAUUGAGUUUUUGAUGACUCUGGAUAACUAAGCCGAGCGCUGAGGCCUUCGAGCCGGCGCCGUACCCACCGAGUGUCUGCCUUAUCAGCUUUAGACUGUAGGCUAUUCGCCUACAUUGGCUGUCACGGGUGACGGGGAAUCAGGGUUCGAUUCCGGAGAGGGAGCCUGAGAAACGGCUACCACAUCUAAGGAAGGCAGCAGGCACGCAAAUUACCCCAUCCCAGUUUGGGGAGGUAGUGACGAUAAAUAACGAUGCGUGACCGUUCCGAGGCCUCGCAAUCGGAAUGAGUCCAAUCUAAACAUGUGGACGAUAAGCCAUUGGAGGGCAAGUCUGGUGCCAGCAGCCGCGGUAAUUCCAGCUCCAAUAGUUUAUACUAAAAUUGCUGCGGUUAAAAAGCUCGUAGCUUAAAUUUAGUAUAAUUACAAGACCUACCCGAGGCAUACCCCUCGGCUGUCGCGCUAACCGUCCAAUCCUUAUCUCUUGUCCCCUUCGCGGAACGGGUGUCGGCGUGUCGUGCGUGACCUGUUUUUAGUAGGGCUUACGAACCACCGCGCUACGAAAGGACCGGAGAGGUUAGGGGGUCGCGUUCGGACGUUGCAAUUACGAUUCUCGUUCUUCUUACGUGCCCCCGCCCUCCGUUCCCCCUUUCUAGCCGGCGUAACGCUCCUUCUUUUAACGUUAAAGGGUCUCCUACUCGGCGCUAAAAUCGUCUCACUCGUCACCAAGUUGUGGCUUUUGUAUGCGUUUGGAAUAAACGGGGAGCGGCACCGAGGAAGUAUUGUCCUCGCGGCGUUAGGGUCUUGUGAUGACUCUAAGUCGUCGGUUCUCACGGUGUACUCUUUACCGAGUGUCCCCGCGUGGCCGACAUAUUCACUUUGAAAAAAUUGGAGUGCUCAAAGCAGGCAAAAUUUAAAGCUUGUAUCUGAAUGCAUUGCAUGAUGCAAAAGGACCUUGGUUAAUUUUUCUCGGUUCUCUAACUCGAGGUAAUGAUUAAGAGGAACGGAAGGAGGCAUUAGUACUGCGGCGCGAGAGGUGAAAUUCAAAGACCGUCGCAAGACUACCUACUGCGAAAGCAUUUGCCUAUUACGUUUCCUUUAGUCAAGAACGAAAGUUAGAUUAUCGAAGGCGAUUAGAUACCGCCCUAGUUCUUACCUUAAACAAUGCCAACUGUCAAUCCGCUCAAGUCAAUCCCACGACUGAGCGGGGAGUCCCCGGGAAACCAAAGUUUUUUGGUUCCGGGGGAAGUAUGGUUGCAAAGCUGAAACUUAAAGGAAUUGACGGAAGGGCACCACCAGGAGUGGAGCCUGCGGCUUAAUUUGACUAACACGGGGUAAACUCACCAGGCCCAGACACUGGAAGGAUUGACAGAUUGAGAGCUCUUUCUCGAUUCGGUGGGAGGUGGUGCAUGGCCGUUCUUAGUUGGUGGAGUGAUUUGUCUGGUUGAUUCCGAUAACGAACGAGAUUCUUACCUAUUAAAUAGUCGUUGGAUCGUAUCCCGAGAAACGUCCCGUUCGGGGGGUUUCGGCGUUAGUUGGCGCCAAUCCGGCUUUCCCUCGGCCUACCCUCUUAGCGCGAGGUGCGUUUGGCAUCCCCUGCCGUCUUUCCCGUUCUUCGGGGGGGCGCGUAGGAGCUCUGCCAUUUCGUUCGGCGUGUCUAGGGGCGGUUCAAGGGUCGAGUGCGUUUGUCCGCGAGGAAACGUCGGCUGCGUCGUUGUAUUCCCCCGUUCAGGGCAAUUCGAGGGGCGUCCAUCGUCGUAUCUUCUUAGAGGUACCGGCAACACUAUAGUUGCACGAGAAAGAGCAAUAACAGGUCUGUGAUGCCCUUAGAUGUUCUGGGCCGCACGCGCGCUACAAUGCAGGGCGCAGCGUGCUUCCCCCCUCCGAAAGGAGAGGGUAACCAUUGGAAACCCCUUCCCGAUAGGGAUUGGGGAUUGUAAGUGUUUCCCAUGAACGAGGAAUUCCUAGUAAGCGUAAGUCAUUGAGCUUGCGAUGAUUACGUCCCUGCCCUUUGUACACACCGCCCGUCGCUACUACCGAUGAAUGAUUAAGUGAGGUCGUCGGACCUGCGCCCUAGGUAUCUAUACGGCUUAGUACGUUAGUACCCCCGGGCGGCAGGGAAGUCUCCAAAU
RNAcentral lists this ribosomal RNA (2383 nucleotides) under Lekanesphaera hookeri. RNAcentral describes it as "partial small subunit ribosomal RNA". It matches the Rfam family "Eukaryotic small subunit ribosomal RNA". The record is from RNAcentral. Lineage: Eukaryota; Metazoa; Arthropoda; Malacostraca; Isopoda; Sphaeromatidae.